Molecule: long non-coding RNA, 560 nt
Filed under: Musa acuminata (dwarf banana)
Lineage: Eukaryota; Viridiplantae; Streptophyta; Magnoliopsida; Zingiberales; Musaceae
Description: long non-coding RNA (MACU_LNC007911)
Source: RNAcentral
GACCUGCCCCACUCUCGGUCCACCUCCAUCUCCAGGUUGCUCCAUCUGGCGAUGGAAACGGCGGUAGCCGCCGCUGUCAGCGGAGGAGGCCUGGGCUACGCAGACUCCGUCGACUCCUCCCCCCGCUCCCGUGGUGGCGACUCGUGGGACGAGCCACCCUUCCCCUCCGCUGCCGCCGGCCGCCUCCGCCUGAUGUGCAGCUACGGCGGCCGUAUCGUCCCCCGGCCCACCGAUAAGACCCUGUGCUACCUUGGUGGCGAGACCCGCAUCGUGGUAGUCGACCGCCACUCGUCCCUCUCCGACCUCUCCGCCAAACUCUCCCGGACCCACCUCCGCGGUCGCCCCUUCUCCCUCAAGUACCAGCUCCCCAACGAGGACCUCGACUCCCUCAUCUCCGUCGCCACUGACGAGGACCUUGAAAACAUGAUUGACGAGUACGACCGCAUCCUUACUGCCGCCUCCACCGGUACCAGCGGCGGCUCCAACCGCUCCUCCCGUCUCCGCCUCUUCCUGUUCCCUUCUAAGCCCGAGUCGUCGCCUACGUCCUCGAUCGGAUCGCU